Long non-coding RNA from Acyrthosiphon pisum (pea aphid), 203 nucleotides. RefSeq lists it as uncharacterized. Lineage: Eukaryota; Metazoa; Arthropoda; Insecta; Hemiptera; Aphididae. The transcript is spliced from 2 exons. The record is from RefSeq and is a predicted model, not a curated record.
CCAAUUUGUGUUUGUAUCAAUUAAUUUUUCAACUACUAUCUAUUCAACGUAAACGUACAAUUUAAGAUGUGUACAGUAAUCAACCUACUAUAAUACCUACAAUAACAUGGAAAAACUGAAAGAUAAAAUAUAAUCAAUUUUGAAUUCACUAACUAUCGACGUACACUAAGGAACUGAUUUAAUACUUAUUAUUACAGAAAUAU